RNAcentral lists this non-coding RNA (146 nucleotides) under uncultured Fusobacterium sp. The record is from RNAcentral. Lineage: Bacteria; Fusobacteriati; Fusobacteriota; Fusobacteriia; Fusobacteriales; Fusobacteriaceae.
AGUUUGACAAAGAUUAAAAGGGAAUUGAGUGAGAAUCUCAAACGGUCCGGCCGCUGUAAAUCAGCAAAUUAUUUUCAAUACCAUUGGAUUUUCUGAGAAGGUGAAAAUAGUGCUAGAGCUGUAAGUCAGAAGACCUGCUCAAAAUA